This 1215-nucleotide ribosomal RNA is filed under the name Klebsiella pneumoniae. RNAcentral describes it as "partial 23S ribosomal RNA". It matches the Rfam family "Bacterial large subunit ribosomal RNA", at positions 1 to 1258 of the family's 2925-position model. Lineage: Bacteria; Pseudomonadati; Pseudomonadota; Gammaproteobacteria; Enterobacterales; Enterobacteriaceae. The record is from RNAcentral.
GGUUAAGCGACUAAGCGUACACGGUGGAUGCCCUGGCAGUCAGAGGCGAUGAAGGACGUGCUAAUCUGCGAAAAGCGUCGGUAAGGUGAUAUGAACCGUUAUAGCCGGCGAUGUCCGAAUGGGGAAACCCAGUGUGAUUCGUCACACUAUCGUUAACUGAAUACAUAGGUUAACGAGGCGAACCGGGGGAACUGAAACAUCUAAGUACCCCGAGGAAAAGAAAUCAACCGAGAUUCCCCCAGUAGCGGCGAGCGAACGGGGAGCAGCCCAGAGUCUGAAUCAGCUUGUGUGUUAGUGGAACGGUCUGGAAAGUCCGACGGUACAGGGUGAUAGUCCCGUACACCAAAAUGCACAGGCUGUGAACUCGAAGAGUAGGGCGGGACACGUGGUAUCCUGUCUGAAUAUGGGGGGACCAUCCUCCAAGGCUAAAUACUCCUGACUGACCGAUAGUGAACCAGUACCGUGAGGGAAAGGCGAAAAGAACCCCGGCGAGGGGAGUGAAAAAGAACCUGAAACCGUGUACGUACAAGCAGUGGGAGCACCUUCGGGUGUGACUGCGUACCUUUUGUAUAAUGGGUCAGCGACUUAUAUUCUGUAGCAAGGUUAACCGUAUAGGGGAGCCGCAGGGAAACCGAGUCUUAACUGGGCGUUAAGUUGCAGGGUAUAGACCCGAAACCCGGUGAUCUAGCCAUGGGCAGGUUGAAGGUUGGGUAACACUAACUGGAGGACCGAACCGACUAAUGUUGAAAAAUUAGCGGAUGACUUGUGGCUGGGGGUGAAAGGCCAAUCAAACCGGGAGAUAGCUGGUUCUCCCCGAAAGCUAUUUAGGUAGCGCCUCGUGAACUCAUCUUCGGGGGUAGAGCACUGUUUCGGCUAGGGGGUCAUCCCGACUUACCAACCCGAUGCAAACUACGAAUACCGAAGAAUGUUAUCACGGGAGACACACGGCGGGUGCUAACGUCCGUCGUGAAGAGGGAAACAACCCAGACCGCCAGCUAAGGUCCCAAAGUCAUGGUUAAGUGGGAAACGAUGUGGGAAGGCACAGACAGCCAGGAUGUUGGCUUAGAAGCAGCCAUCAUUUAAAGAAAGCGUAAUAGCUCACUGGUCGAGUCGGCCUGCGCGGAAGAUGUAACGGGGCUAAACCAUGCACCGAAGCUGCGGCAGCGACACUAUGUGUUGUUGGGUAGGGGAGCGUUCUGUAAGCCUGCGAAGGUG